Long non-coding RNA from Oreochromis aureus, 607 nucleotides. NCBI's taxonomy places the organism in Eukaryota, Metazoa, Chordata, Actinopteri, Cichliformes, Cichlidae. The record is from Ensembl.
UGAACAAUGGUGAUUUGAGUCUGAGACGAUUUAGUUGCCAUUUACACGUAGUUGUAUUGCCCUAUGGCAGCGAUUAAAGUGGUCAUUUAAGAAGACACUAAGCAAGUUGUGCAGCAAACAUAGCAGUCAGCUGGGGCUUGAUUUUUGGAAGGUGUGAAAACGGCACAGGAGACGUUUUACAGGUGGAAGAAGGUUUUUCUGGUAAAAAAAACUGACCAGAAAAACAUUCAGACUCGGUGGUCAUAAGACCAAGCCUUACGCCAGGUCAGAGACAGAGCGCGAUGCGUGUGGAGAACUUGGCACAACCUGAAUAACACUGGACAAACACAGGCACAGAACCCCUCUGCAUGAUGAGGACGAUGACGAGCCCAUGACAUUUCUGGAAUAUUUACGCCGUAUAGAGCAGGAAGAAUACAAAAAACAAGCAACUACAAUCCAGGCUGUGUGUGAUAGUGGAGAGCUAGACCCCCUUUUUUUUUUUUUUUCCUUUUUUCCAACAACUGGUCACCUCAGGGUGAGUGUGUGCCUGGUGAUUUUAUCAAUGUUUUUGAGCACAGUGUAUCAGACUUUAAUCUCCUACCUACCAUACCCAGGUGCAUGAGUAUUG